GUUCUUAGCAUUUUUGAGAGCUGAUGAAAUGGCAACCUUCAAAGAGGAGUGGGAAACUGUUCUCGAUGAACUGGAGACUGAAAGUGCUCAUUUAUUGGAACAACUGGAUGGUGCUGGAAUUGAACUCCCUAGUCUCUAUAAGUGGAUAGAGAGUCAGGCUCCUCACGGUUGCUGCACUGAAGCAUGGAAAAAUAGGACUCAGUGGGUUGGUUCUGAGCUGACAAGUGACCUCACUGGAGCAAUUGCUGAUGCUGAGAAGUAUCUUCAAAUCCACAGACCUGUAGGAAGGAAACAUGGAAAAGUCUUGGAGGAGGGUGCCAGUGGUUUCUUGGCAAAAAAACUUGCUGGGAAUGAUGGCAGUGAGGCUCAGGGAGGGAGCAGUGGUGUAGAUUGGGGCUCUUUUAGCAAAUUAUGCUCUGAUAACUCUUCAUCAUCUAUGGGUACUACUUCAUUUGGCAGCAAAGAUUGGUCCUCUGUUUACCUUGCUAGUACACCACAGCAAGCUGCUGAGCUAGGACUAAAAUUUCCUGGAGUGGAUGAGGUUGAGGAGAUUGAUGAUAUCGAAGACAGUUCUGGUGAUCCAUUUGUUGCGGAUGCCAUUGCAAAUGAAAGAGAGUUAAAU
RNAcentral lists this unclassified non-coding RNA (622 nucleotides) under Hevea brasiliensis (rubber tree). The record is from RNAcentral. Lineage: Eukaryota; Viridiplantae; Streptophyta; Magnoliopsida; Malpighiales; Euphorbiaceae.